AAUAGAGCAAAUGAACAGAUGUUCAGCCAGCUGAUACUGAUGCCCUCAUGCUGAAAGCCUGAUGAGGACCAGGACCUGGACCUGGACUGUCAUCCCAACACUUUUCAUCGUUUGCUGAUCCUCUGCAUUUUCCUCACUGCUCUCAAACUCUGCAGCCACAUCUUGAUCCUGUUCACCCUGGGCUGAUGCUUUCAGCAUGGCAGCUGCCACAGGGAGAUUCAGGAUUCAAAUAUGAAGAUGUCUAUGGGAGUGAAGAAGAAUGACAAACUUUUCAAGGAAAAAUAGAAGAUAGAAGGUGGUUGAGAAUAGGAAGGAUGGCUGAGGACAGUUCCAGAUGACAUUGUCUAUGCUUUGGACCAUUCCAGGGAAGCUGGGAAAGCUGGUUCCUAUCUACAGGGCUGUCUGAACUCUUUUUGCUAUCAUGAUGCUGAGGUCUAUCUCACUGCCAGAUGAGAAGCAACUCAAGAAAUUGGUUCCAUGCCCCCAGACCUCUUUUGGGAGGAAGAAAUAAAACUGAAGAGAAAUGAAGUAAGCCCAAAGAAGCAGAGGUUUCCCUCCUGGCUAAAGUUUGUUGGUACCACCCACUAACAUGGGGGAAUCAGACAGCUCCCCAAGCAAGCCUAAGGCUGGCAUGAGGGCAUGAACAACACAUCUGAUCUUUGUUUGUCUUUCUCAGGAGCCACCUGGGCUGGCCUGAACAACCUCACUUUGUAUACUAUUGUCUUAAACUGGCCAUAGUUCUUGAUAGAGCAGGAAAAAGGAAUAAGGCUAGAAGGUACAGAAUUUACUUGAUAAUUCCUUUCCUGUUGCAAUGUACAAGUCUUUACUUACAUUAUGUUAAAUUUAAAAAAAACAGGCAAACCUCAUCAGAAAUGUUUACUGCCCUACCACUCAUGCAUUGCUCCCAACAAGGCUAAUUAAGCCCAUUGCUAUUAGAGUUACACAUUUCUGAAGGCUUGUUAUGACAAGAAAAAAUAAAUGAAACUAUGGUUUCUCCAAGUUGUAAGCAUA
Marmota flaviventris (yellow-bellied marmot) is the source of this 1011-nucleotide long non-coding RNA. RefSeq lists it as uncharacterized. The record is from RefSeq and is a predicted model, not a curated record. Lineage: Eukaryota; Metazoa; Chordata; Mammalia; Rodentia; Sciuridae.